Molecule: ribosomal RNA, 490 nt
Filed under: uncultured bacterium
Lineage: Bacteria
Description: partial 16S ribosomal RNA
Rfam family: Bacterial small subunit ribosomal RNA
Source: RNAcentral
GAUGAACGCUAGCUACAGGCUUAACACAUGCAAGUCGCGGGGCAGCAUGGGGGUUGCUUGCAAUCCCCGAUGGCGACCGGCGCACGGGUGAGUAACGCGUAUCCAACCUGCCCUUCACCACGGGAUAACCCGGCGAAAGUCGGACUAAUACCGUAUGUUGUCCAUUGACGGCAUCCGAUUUGGACGAAAGGUUUGGCGGUGAAGGAUGGGGAUGCGUCCGAUUAGCUGGACGGCGGGGUGACGGCCCACCGUGGCGACGAUCGGUAGGGGUUCUGAGAGGAAGGUCCCCCACACUGGAACUGAGACACGGUCCAGAAUCCUACGGGAGGCAGCAGUGAGGAAUAUUGGUCAAUGGGCGUAAGCCUGAACCAGCCAAGUAGCGUGCAGGAUGACGGCCCUAUGGGUUGUAAACUGCUUUUAUGCGGGGAUAAAGUGGCCCACGUGUGGGUUUUUGCAGGUACCGCAUGAAUAAGGACCGGCUAAUUCCGUG